This 847-nucleotide ribosomal RNA is filed under the name uncultured bacterium. RNAcentral's name for it is "bacterial SSU rRNA". It matches the Rfam family "Bacterial small subunit ribosomal RNA", at positions 49 to 894 of the family's 1533-position model. The record is from RNAcentral.
UAACACAUGCAAGUCGAACGGAGCACCCUUGAUUGAGGUUUCGGCCAAAUGAUAGGAAUGCUUAGUGGCGGACUGGUGAGUAACGCGUGAGGAACCUGCCUUUCAGAGGGGGACAACAGUUGGAAACGACUGCUAAUACCGCAUGACGCAUUUUGAUCGCAUGGUCGAAAUGCCAAAGAUUUAUCGCUGAAAGAUGGCCUCGCGCCUGAUUAGCUAGUUGGUGAGGUAACGGCCCACCAAGGCGACGAUCAGUAGCCGGACUGAGAGGUUGACCGGCCACAUUGGGACUGAGAUACGGCCCAGACUCCUACGGGAGGCAGCAGUGGGGAAUAUUGGGCAAUGGGCGCAAGCCUGACCCAGCAACGCCGCGUGAAGGAAGAAGGCUUUCGGGUUGUAAACUUCUUUUAAGUGGGAAGAGCAGAAGACGGUACCACUUGAAUAAGCCACGGCUAACUACGUGCCAGCAGCCGCGGUAAUACGUAGGUGGCAAGCGUUGUCCGGAUUUACUGGGUGUAAAGGGCGUGCAGCCGGGCAUGCAAGUCAGAUGUGAAAUCUCAGGGCUUAACCCUGAAACUGCAUUUGAAACUGUAUGUCUUGAGUGCCGGAGAGGUAAUCGGAAUUCCUUGUGUAGCGGUGAAAUGCGUAGAUAUAAGGAAGAACACCAGUGGCGAAGGCGGAUUACUGGACGGUAACUGACGGUGAGGCGCGAAAGCGUGGGGAGCGAACAGGAUUAGAUACCCUGGUAGUCCACGCUGUAAACGAUGGAUACUAGGUGUGCGGGGACUGACCCCCUGCGUGCCGCAGUUAACACAAUAAGUAUCCCACCUGGGGAGUACGAUCGCAAGGU